GGUGGUAUAGCCAAGUGGUAAGGCAGUGGUCUGCAAAACCGUGAUCGCCGGUUCGACUCCGGUUACCACCUC
Molecule: transfer RNA, 72 nt
Filed under: Convivina intestini
Lineage: Bacteria; Bacillati; Bacillota; Bacilli; Lactobacillales; Lactobacillaceae
Also listed under: 1 other name
Description: tRNA-Cys
Rfam family: tRNA
About the family: Transfer RNA (tRNA) molecules are approximately 80 nucleotides in length. Their secondary structure includes four short double-helical elements and three loops (D, anti-codon, and T loops). Further hydrogen bonds mediate the characteristic L-shaped molecular structure. tRNAs have two regions of fundamental functional importance: the anti-codon, which is responsible for specific mRNA codon recognition, and the 3' end, to which the tRNAs corresponding amino acid is attached (by aminoacyl-tRNA synthetases). tRNAs cope with the degeneracy of the genetic code in two manners: having more than one tRNA (with a specific anti-codon) for a particular amino acid; and 'wobble' base-pairing, i.e. permitting non-standard base-pairing at the 3rd anti-codon position.
Source: RNAcentral